GCUGGGCACGGUGGCUCAUGCCUGUAAUCCUAGCAAUUUGGGAGGCCGAGGCUGGUGGAUCACCUGAGGCCAGGAGUUCAAGACCAGCCUGGCCAACAUGGUGAAACCCUGCCUCUA
Molecule: unclassified non-coding RNA, 117 nt
Organism: Papio anubis (olive baboon)
Lineage: Eukaryota; Metazoa; Chordata; Mammalia; Primates; Cercopithecidae
Rfam family: Metazoan signal recognition particle RNA
About the family: The signal recognition particle (SRP) is a universally conserved ribonucleoprotein. It is involved in the co-translational targeting of proteins to membranes.
Source: Ensembl